AGGCCACCGCACAAACACAGACUGGUCCAAGCUCCAAAGCCAGCACGCAGCGGAGUGGAAAAAUAAUAACUCGCUCCGGAACAACUACAACUACCCCCACCCUCGCCGCUGCUGACGCGAGCUGUCUUGACCGGCGGCGAUUUCUUUCUUUUCUCUCUCUUUCUCUCCCUCCCUCCCGUGCCUGCACCAACCUUUAACUGCUACGAUCGAUCGAUCGAGCGGGGGUGGGCGAGGGAGGAAGGUUCCAGUCCAGUCGUACGGCACAUGGCGUCGGCGGCGAUGGAGCUGCUGGGGAGAUCCUUCUUGCCGGGCCCUGCGGCGGGCGCGGCGGGCCGGGAGCGGGGAGGCGGGCCCUGCUUCGCCGCGGUCGGA
RNAcentral lists this long non-coding RNA (372 nucleotides) under Setaria italica (foxtail millet). RNAcentral's name for it is "long non-coding RNA (SITA_LNC005262)". The record is from RNAcentral. Lineage: Eukaryota; Viridiplantae; Streptophyta; Magnoliopsida; Poales; Poaceae.